UCCCAGCUGGCUCAGUGGUAAAGAAUUUGCCUGCAACGCAAGAGACUCAGGUUCGAUCCCCAGGUCGGGAA
RNAcentral lists this transfer RNA (71 nucleotides) under Bos taurus (domestic cattle). It matches the Rfam family "tRNA". Rfam says of the family: Transfer RNA (tRNA) molecules are approximately 80 nucleotides in length. Lineage: Eukaryota; Metazoa; Chordata; Mammalia; Artiodactyla; Bovidae. RNAcentral also lists the same sequence under 5 other names. The record is from Rfam by way of RNAcentral.